GGUGCAGUGCGGGUGCUAUACAUGCAGUCGAGCGGACAGAUGGGAGCUUGCUCCCUGAUGUUAGCGGCGGACGGGUGAGUAACACGUGGGUAACCUGCCUGUAAGACUGGGAUAACUCCGGGAAACCGGGGCUAAUACCGGAUGCUUGUUUGAACCGCAUGGUUCAAACAUAAAAGGUGGCUUCGGCUACCACUUACAGAUGGACCCGCGGCGCAUUAGCUAGUUGGUGAGGUAACGGCUCACCAAGGCAACGAUGCGUAGCCGACCUGAGAGGGUGAUCGGCCACACUGGGACUGAGACACGGCCCAGACUCCUACGGGAGGCAGCAGUAGGGAAUCUUCCGCAAUGGACGAAAGUCUGACGGAGCAACGCCGCGUGAGUGAUGAAGGUUUUCGGAUCGUAAAGCUCUGUUGUUAGGGAAGAACAAGUACCGUUCGAAUAGGGCGGUACCUUGACGGUACCUAACCAGAAAGCCACGGCUAACUACGUGCCAGCAGCCGCGGUAAUACGUAGGUGGCAAGCGUUGUCCGGAAUUAUUGGGCGUAAAGGGCUCGCAGGCGGUUCCUUAAGUCUGAUGUGAAAGCCCCCGGCUCAACCGGGGAGGGUCAUUGGAAACUGGGGAACUUGAGUGCAGAAGAGGAGAGUGGAAUUCCACGUGUAGCGGUGAAAUGCGUAGAGAUGUGGAGGAACACCAGUGGCGAAGGCGACUCUCUGGUCUGUAACUGACGCUGAGGAGCGAAAGCGUGGGGAGCGAACAGGAUUAGAUACCCUGGUAGUCCACGCCGUAAACGAUGAGUGCUAAGUGUUAGGGGGUUUCCGCCCCUUAGUGCUGCAGCUAACGCAUUAAGCACUCCGCCUGGGGAGUACGGUCGCAAGACUGAAACUCAAAGGAAUUGACGGGGGCCCGCACAAGCGGUGGAGCAUGUGGUUUAAUUCGAAGCAACGCGAAGAACCUUACCAGGUCUUGACAUCCUCUGACAAUCCUAGAGAUAGGACGUCCCCUUCGGGGGCAGAGUGACAGGUGGUGCAUGGUUGUCGUCAGCUCGUGUCGUGAGAUGUUGGGUUAAGUCCCGCAACGAGCGCACCCCUUGAUCUUAGUUGCCAGCAUUCAGUUGGGCACUCUAAGGUGACUGCCGGUGACAAACCGGAAGAAGGUGGGGAUGACGUCAAAUCAUCAUGCCCCUUAUGACCGGGGCUAACACCGUGCUACAAUGGACAAAAAAAAGGGCGCCCAAACCCGGGGGGUUAACCCAUCACACAAAUUUGUUUUCCGUUUGAAAUCAAUCUGGCAUCCUCCUGUGGUUAGUUUG
Molecule: ribosomal RNA, 1310 nt
Filed under: Bacillus subtilis
Lineage: Bacteria; Bacillati; Bacillota; Bacilli; Caryophanales; Bacillaceae
Description: bacterial SSU rRNA
Rfam family: Bacterial small subunit ribosomal RNA
Source: RNAcentral